CUGGAUUAAUAAUGGUAGAAAAGCAUUUGGAGAAAUCUUGAGUCCCUCCUGCCAUUAACAUAGGUCUACUGUUUGCUUGACUAGACAGAGCAGCAACAACAGCAACAAACAACAGAGCAAAAAAUACAACUAGAAAUUGAUUUUCUGAAGACCAAAGUGCAACAACACUACGAGCAGGAAGCUAAGACAGAUCAAGAAAAGAAAGAACAAGAAUGUCAAACAGAACGAAAAGUUUUUGAACCUGUUGUGCAUCAGAAACAGGAAGCAGAAUACAAGGCUGACAUUGCCCUGGAGCCACAGGUAUCCUGGUUUCCCAAGGAGGAUGACCAUCUAAAGAGAAUUCAUGACUGUCAGCAACGUCUGUUGGUGCAAAACAGGAUGCAUCAAGAAUCAGUUGAUGAAGCCAGAAGAAAAUUAGAAGAAUAUCAGAAUAAACUGCAACAGAGAUUCCAGUCAGUUUCCAGGGGCCUGUUAAAUCCCCUAGACAGAUUUGCACACCUAAACGCUCUCCCUGAUCCAUUGUCACAAGCCCAGGAGUUGCAUCAACCCCGGAGAAUAAAAGCAACGGCUUACAAGCCACCCGAG
Molecule: long non-coding RNA, 585 nt
Filed under: Notechis scutatus (mainland tiger snake)
Lineage: Eukaryota; Metazoa; Chordata; Lepidosauria; Squamata; Elapidae
Description: lncRNA (ENSNSUG00000018142.1)
Source: RNAcentral